RNAcentral lists this ribosomal RNA (1522 nucleotides) under metagenome. RNAcentral's name for it is "bacterial SSU rRNA". It matches the Rfam family "Bacterial small subunit ribosomal RNA". The record is from RNAcentral.
AGAGUUUGAUCAUGGCUCAGAUUGAACGCUGGCGGCAGGCCUAACACAUGCAAGUCGAACGGUAACAGGAAACAGCUUGCUGUUUCGCUGACGAGUGGCGGACGGGUGAGUAAUGUCUGGGAAACUGCCUGAUGGAGGGGGAUAACUACUGGAAACGGUAGCUAAUACCGCAUAACGUCGCAAGACCAAAGAGGGGGACCUUCGGGCCUCUUGCCAUCAGAUGUGCCCAGAUGGGAUUAGCUAGUAGGUGGGGUAACGGCUCACCUAGGCGACGAUCCCUAGCUGGUCUGAGAGGAUGACCAGCCACACUGGAACUGAGACACGGUCCAGACUCCUACGGGAGGCAGCAGUGGGGAAUAUUGCACAAUGGGCGCAAGCCUGAUGCAGCCAUGCCGCGUGUAUGAAGAAGGCCUUCGGGUUGUAAAGUACUUUCAGCGGGGAGGAAGGGAGUAAAGUUAAUACCUUUGCUCAUUGACGUUACCCGCAGAAGAAGCACCGGCUAACUCCGUGCCAGCAGCCGCGGUAAUACGGAGGGUGCGAGCGUUAAUCGGAAUUACUGGGCGUAAAGCGCACGCAGGCGGUUUGUUAAGUCAGAUGUGAAAUCCCCGGGCUCAACCUGGGAACUGCAUCUGAUACUGGCAAGCUUGAGUCUCGUAGAGGGGGGUAGAAUUCCAGGUGUAGCGGUGAAAUGCGUAGAGAUCUGGAGGAAUACCGGUGGCGAAGGCGGCCCCCUGGACGAAGACUGACGCUCAGGUGCGAAAGCGUGGGGAGCAAACAGGAUUAGAUACCCUGGUAGUCCACGCCGUAAACGAUGUCGACUUGGAGGUUGUGCCCUUGAGGCGUGGCUUCCGGAGCUAACGCGUUAAGUCGACCGCCUGGGGAGUACGGCCGCAAGGUUAAAACUCAAAUGAAUUGACGGGGGCCCGCACAAGCGGUGGAGCAUGUGGUUUAAUUCGAUGCAACGCGAAGAACCUUACCUGGUCUUGACAUCCACGGAAGUUUUCAGAGAUGAGAAUGUGCCUUCGGGAACCGUGAGACAGGUGCUGCAUGGCUGUCGUCAGCUCGUGUUGUGAAAUGUUGGGUUAAGUCCCGCAACGAGCGCAACCCUUAUCCUUUGUUGCCAGCGGUCCGGCCGGGAACUCAAAGGAGACUGCCAGUGAUAAACUGGAGGAAGGUGGGGAUGACGUCAAGUCAUCAUGGCCCUUACGACCAGGGCUACACACGUGCUACAAUGGCGCAUACAAAGAGAAGCGACCUCGCGAGAGCAAGCGGACCUCAUAAAGUGCGUCGUAGUCCGGAUUGGAGUCUGCAACUCGACUCCAUGAAGUCGGAAUCGCUAGUAAUCGUGGAUCAGAAUGCCACGGUGAAUACGUUCCCGGGCCUUGUACACACCGCCCGUCACACCAUGGGAGUGGGUUGCAAAAGAAGUAGGUAGCUUAACCUUCGGGAGGGCGCUUACCACUUUGUGAUUCAUGACUGGGGUGAAGUCGGAACAAGGUAACCGUAGGGGAACCUGCGGUUG